Molecule: ribosomal RNA, 933 nt
Filed under: uncultured bacterium
Lineage: Bacteria
Description: bacterial SSU rRNA
Rfam family: Bacterial small subunit ribosomal RNA
Source: RNAcentral
AGAGUUUGAUCAUGGCUCAGAACGAACGCUGGCGGCGUGCUUAACACAUGCAAGUCGAACGGAAUUAGGGGCUUGCUCCUAAUUUAGUGGCGCACGGGUGAGUAACGCGUGGAUAACCUACCCUGGUAUCUGGGAUAACAUCUCGAAAGGGGUGCUAAUACCGGAUAAGCCCACGGUCUCUUCGGGGAUUGCGGGAAAAGAUGGCCUCUAUUUAUAAGCUAUCGUAUCAGGAUGGGUCCGCGUACCAUUAGCUAGUUGGUGGUGUAAUGGACCACCAAGGCGACGAUGGUUAGCUGGUCUGAGAGGAUGAUCAGCCACACUGGAACUGAGACACGGUCCAGACUCCUACGGGAGGCAGCAGUGGGGAAUUUUGCGCAAUGGGGGAAACCCUGACGCAGCAACGCCGCGUGAGUGAUGAAGGCCUUCGGGUCGUAAAGCUCUGUCAGAGGGGAAGAAGUGAUAGUGUGCUAAUACCACAUUAUCUUGACGGUACCCUCAAAGGAAGCACCGGCUAACUCCGUGCCAGCAGCCGCGGUAAUACGGAGGGUGCAAGCGUUGUUCGGAUUUAUUGGGCGUAAAGCGCGUGUAGGCGGUCUUUUAAGUCUGAUGUGAAAGCCCCGGGCUCAACCCGGGAAGUGCAUUGGAAACUGGGAGACUUGAAUACGGGAGAGGGUAGUGGAAUUCCUAGUGUAGGAGUGAAAUCCGUAGAUAUUAGGAGGAACACCGGUGGCGAAGGCGGCUACCUGGACCGAUAUUGACGCUGAGACGCGAAAGCGUGGGGAGCAAACAGGAUUAGAUACCCUGGUAGUCCACGCCGUAAACGAUGAGUACUAGGUGUUGCGGGUAUUGACCCCUGCAGUGCCGCAGCUAACGCAUUAAGUACUCCGCCCUGGGAAGUACGGUCGCCAAGACUAAACUCAAAGGAAUUGACGG